AAAAGAAUAAUAUUUAUAAGUUUAAAAUUCAUGUUUUAUUAUUUUAAGAUGUUUUAAGAUAUUAAGAACUUUUUGUGGUAAUAGUACUAAACUGGAGAGUAAUUUUUUGUAUGUACCACCAAUGAUUGAGUGGAAGAAUGUUGGUUCACCAUAUUAGAGAUAAUUAAAAAUACAUAGAGAGGGUGAUUCAAAGAACUUGGGUCCGUCUCAGAGUGCUUUCCCUCCUCUCCCUAGCUUGGGCCCCCCUCGACCACCGCCUUCCUCCGCCCAAGCCCUGAUCCGUACUCUCGACUGCCGCCGUCCUCGCCCAACCCUCUUCCUCUCUAUCCUCUUCCCCCCACUCCUUACCAUAGCUACACCCACCUCCCCCCUCUCACCAUUCUAGUUGGGGAGCCACACUCUUCCCAUAUUGUGAAGGCUUUGAGGUCCUCUUCGGUAGGUCUAUACACCCCUUCAGGCAUGACAUCAAAGGUAUAAAGAAAUGGAAUAGGGAAGUUUGGGCUUUCUCAGACCUAACCUGCCUAGAGAAUUUCUUUUCUCUUUCCCAUCUAAAGUCAGUUGUAAUAGUGCCCAGCAGGGACACCAUUCUUGGUUCAAUGGGGCAUCUCUCACCCUUUCUGUUUGGAAUUAGUACCUGGGAGCCGUUUUGUAAACAAUUUGGUUUCAGGCCACCAACAUCCCCAUGCAAGCGUGGCGCAUCAACACUUUCAAAAAAAUUGGGGACUCUUGCGACGAGUUUAGCUUGGUCCAUUAGAGGUCCUCAGGCACCCUUCCUCUUGGAUCAAUCCAACUUCUCAUAGAAUCGUUGGCCCCUUUCCUCAUCCCACCCUCCAUCUGGCUGAAGUAGAUGGCCUCUUCUUGAACAUUCCCAUGGCUUGGUCCUUCACCUCUCCCCUAUCGUCCCGCCAUCUCAGAGACCUCGAUCCUCCUCUGUUUGGAUCACAUUCCUUGAUACACGAGGAUGGAUGGAUCGAGGUCUCGCAUAGAGGACGGUCGGGAAAUGACCAUCAGCGUCCAAGUUCCAUUGUGUGGCUAACAAAGUUGGUACUAAGCAAACUGCUGCCCCAAGAGCUUCACCACCUCUCGAGCUUCCCAUCAUUCACGAUGAUGGGACGAAUGGUUGCUUCAUAAACCCCAUUUCCCAAGGCAAGUCAUCCCUGGCCUUAGAGCAGGCGGCUCUAUCUCCCCAUCUGGACCAGCCACGUGGCUCUUUCUCGAUUGUCUCGCCAUCGAUCCUCCCCUAGUGUGCAUCUCAAUGAUCUCUUGAUCGCAAUUUCCUCUUUUCAGGAGAUGCCACGUGGCUCCACGUCCUUUGUCCUUCGUCGAACCGUCCUGGUGAGCAAGUGAUCGUUGCUUCCCUUUCCAAUCCCGUGACACUAGUUGUCCUUCCUCCAUGUCUCCCUCCGGUCUUAGGAAACUAGCAAGCAACUCUCCUCCCUUUUCCUCUUUUCACUCAUUGAUCCUAUUGUUUCCUCAGUUACAUUUUCUGAGCCUUUCCUCUACACGGAUGGUGGACACUUGCCCUCUCCUGUCGUGUCCCUUUCCCCCCUUUUUCACCCAUCCAAUCGUGUUUCACAUGCAAACUGCUCCUUCAUCUCGUUUUUUCCAAGCUCCUAUACCCUCUCUAUCCUCGCUUUCUUUUCCCCCUCUCUCUCCACCCUCUCCCAACGCCAUCCCAUGCUUGCAACCCUUCUUCCAGCAACCCCUCUUGAUAUGCCCUCCCCUAGCCUUAUUAUUUCACCUCAGCGUUUUCCUCCUAAUUCAUCUCCUGCUCCUCUCUUCCCCCAAAUAACCAACAUCAUACAAUGUUGUUUGUAGACAUGAAUUUUGUUUUGGUCAUUUAUGACCUGCCUGUUAGAUUUAUUCAUAAACUGAUGAGCAAUUGGUAAGAUGCAUAAUAGCUUUAUUUUAGUUGGAAUUCUUAUUUCCUCUUUCCAAAUCUAUCUUGAUAAAUAUUGAAUUUCUCAUUCGGGCCUUUCGAUUAUUGGAUCUAGAAGCAUUUUAUUUUAGACAUGUCGUGGUGCGUGGCUCUACCGCUAUAUCCGAUUAAUGUGUUGCUUUCGACAUACCAGUAGACAAUCUGAUGAGCCUCACCAAGCAUGUGUCAUUUUUUGGUGUCAAACAUGGAGGCAUUUUCCUGUUCACAUCUUGAAAUUUCAGACAUGGACACCUACGAUUUGAUAUGUUUGCCCCCAUAAGUUUUGACAUAGGUCUAGAAGUUGAACAACCAUAUUCAUGUAUGGGAUGCAUGUAUUUUCUUUUUUAUGUUAAUUUUUCUUAUUUACUUUUGACAAUUUUUAUUAUUUAUAUUUCUUUUUAUAGCUUUUGAAUUUGUCUUCCAUCUUAUAUCUCAUCCGUGUGAUUCAUCACAUAGAAAUAUUUGUUGAGGCGUGUUUCAACAUUCAACCAAAUGCAUAUUUGAAUUGGGUCCCUCACUUCACUAAUAAGAAUUAACAUGUCACUUCAUGUGAAUUGUUGUUUUGCGUAAACGUAAUCUCAGUUUAAGAUGAAUCUUUUCUUGACCAAAUCAUUAUUAGCACUUAGCAGCCUUUGUUCUUGCAUCAAAUAAAACUCACAUGAAAUGAAAAUUCUGCUAGCUCCCCAAAACAAAGGAACACAGUAAUUACGUCCAAAUUGUUCCAGCAUUCAUGCAGGUUGAACUGGACAAGAUAUUGUCUCAUUUUUGUCUAAGAUGCCCUUUUGUAGGGAUUGUAGUUUCUUCAAAUUUAGUUAUCUCGUGCAUUAUUUGUGAAAUUCAUUUAUGUUGGGAGCUCUUGAACUUGUACCUGUAUUGAGGUCUGCUCUUCAAACUAGCAAACUUUUUGGGAGAGGUGCAACUAUGCAGUGGAAGACCCUAACAGCCUCACUAUUCUUCAAGAUACUAUCAAACCAUUCCAGUUUUAUGUUCUAUGAUGUGACUCAAUGUUUCUAAUGGGCAAUCUCAAUGACAUACAUGACCAGAUUGAUUUCAAGUUAAUUAAACCCUGAUUUAAGAAAUGGGAUGAGGAGGCUGUGUUCAAGUGUUAAGAGGAGGGUAGGUAGUUAUAGUUGAGUUGACUGCUUGGUUGCUUGAGAACUUUCAAGCCUGGAUAGGGAGUGAGGUACUGCUUGCUUGGAUCACCAUGAUACUUUUGGGAUCAUUUCAAAACCCUAACUUGAGUAUUCUCUUCAAAGAAAGAGAGUGAUAGCCCCCUUGACAAAAGCGUGGCCACCCAAGAGUAUCUUCUUCCUUGUGCUCUCAUUUGAAACCCUUCCAUGGACUAGUCCCUCAUGUGUGUGAUCAAGCCCAUACUAUUGCUUCACUAAGGUGGUAGAAAGCUGGGAUAUACGCUAGUAGUAUUGGCUCAUGUUUGGGACAAUUCCAUGCCGUAUGAAAAGAACAGUAUGUUAAGCCAAGAGUGGAGGUCUUGUUGUUCAACCAUUGCGUGCAUGUUGCUGAAGGAAGCUUGGUUGCUUGCUGUACAGGAACAUGCUUCACCCCCAUCAUGAUGCAUGGAGGACAUGUCCAUCUUCGAUGCCAUAAAAGAAGUUGUUCAUUUGCAUAGAGGGUGUGGAAUAAAGGGAGUUGCCAGCCCCACCUGCACCUCCUAGUUCCAAGCAUUCAAUAAUCGAAGGCAUCGAUACAUUUAUCAGCGAGGCCAUGGAAGGAUACCAUGCUGCAACAUGGAGAGCUUGGUCAUGUGCACAUGUUUUGCUCCAUUUGCCGAGGCUCUCAUUUGAAACUGAAGGAUCUAAGCAGGCAUUAGCAAUUGCUUUUUGUAAAGCUCAAAGCAAGCCAGUGGCUUUGAGGAAGCCUCUUUUGCUGGUUAUUGCAUCUCGUUGUAUAUGUUGCCCUGAUUAUAUAAAAAAGGUUUUGGAGAAAGAUGAAGAUGAAGGUCUCACUGUGUGGGUGCGUGGAGUGGUGUAUAUUUUUGCUCAUUUGUUCCAGCCUGGUCUUUCAUCUAGCUCCAAGAUAAAGAUGGCUGGACCCUUUUUCGGCAAUUUUCAGGGGAGUGCAAAGGCAAAAGGAUAAAGAAAUGAAGAAUUAUUUAGAGAUGUGCAAGUUGGAGAGUACUACAGGCACUGGUCCAGUGAAAGCAUCCGCUAGAAUAGGAAGGAUAAACAAAAUCACCUAAGCAGCACUUGCUUUUCAUGUGGUUUAUGUCUUCUCUUUUUUUUGCCUUGUAAUUGUAGGUGUGAUAUUUUAUGUUGUUAAGCAUUGUUAAAUUAGGAGAGCUGCAUAUUUUAUUUUUUUAAUUCUAUUUUUGUUAAAAAUAAUUGUGGAUGUCAUGGUGAAGACUCUCUCUCUCUCUCUCUCCCUCAUUCAUGAAUUAGGCCUCUGGGCAUUUGGCCAUUUGCUAUGGUACUCAUUUUGAAAGUCUUUUAUAUUGUGAAAUACACCUUUGCUAACUUGCAAAAAAAAAUGUAAUCUGUAUAUGGUAUCUAAACUUUUCCAUUUUCUCUUCAUUGAUGGACAUUCGUGUCCUAAAAAAUCUGAUCUCAUGUUGUAAUGUGUAGACAUGUGAACUGGAUUGCUUGGGCAAUGUAGCUGAAAUGCAUGAUAUAGUUUUUCAGUUGGAUUUCCUGGCCUGAAUGCUCCUAUUCCACCUGGUGCUAGCUUUGGUGAUCAUCCUAGAGGUUGGGGCAAGCCUCCUGUUGAUGAAUUCGGACGCCCACUAUAGUGACGUUUUUGGUGUCCAACAACAAGAACAACCUAAUUAUGAGAGGAACUUGUUGAUAGGAGUAAGUAUAGGGAUGACUUGGAGGAAGGGGAGGAAUAGAUGGAAGAAGAGGAAUUGGAGUACGCCAACUGGUGUGAAGGCACCUGACGUCAUUGAUCUUCGAAAGCAAUAAAGGAAAGAGCCAGGGAAGCCUCUAGACCAAAUGAGUACAUUGAAAGAUUUUGGGCACAAUCUUCUAGUACUCGAAGAGAAGGAAGAAAGGAUUGCACCAAGAACCUUACUUGGAACAACGCACAUGUAUGUGCUUGGGGCAAUGGAUAAUCCUGGUCCAUUAUGUUGCUGAGUGAGGCAGCACCUUAUGAUAAAGUCUGCAAGCACAAUUUAAAUAUGAAAUAAAGAAUGAGGGGAAUUACCGAAGCCAGUAAUGCUGAAAAAGUUAUCUUCACAUGCAUUCCCUAGUUAAUUAUUGGGUGACAAACUGAAUUUGCUAACCUGUGGCAGGACCACAUAGAUGUUUCCCAAUUGCCAAGUAAGAAACACCCCGUAAAAGUCUACACAUUAUUCAAGUCCAAAUCAUCAACUGCAAUAGUUAAGUUAAACAUUAGAUGCGCAAGGGGGAUGUAAACUGAUAAUAUUCAAUAAAUACAUGCAUACAUGUAAUGCUAAAUAUUGUCUGCUUAUCAUGUUAAAUGUGUUAGAAAACCAAAUGAGCUCCCAUUGAAAAUAGCCUUCAUUAGUUUAAUAGUGAUUAUGUAUGGAACUCAAGGCCCCUGCAAGGUCCCUGAGCACUGGGCCCUCUAGCAUAUGACAACACAAUUGUUUAAUGAACUUUCAACAUGCACGAGCAAUUUGAGGGUGGACCAAUGCGACCCAUGGAAAAAGCAUUAUGCCAUUACUGACCUGGUUAUAGUAUAAAAACUCGACAAUCCUCUUAACUUGAUGGUGAAGCCUUUCAACAGAUUGCUAUGAAAGGUAAGGGACCAUAGCUAAUGGAUUAUGGAUGAUUGCAGUACUUCAUGAACCCACAUCUUAAAAGGGAGCCAUGCCUUAGCAGUUGGAGCUCAUUGCAAAAGAAAUUCUUUCACCUUUGUAUAUGAUAUUCCAUCAUUUCACGGAGAUAAUCAGGUAUGUUGUCUUUUGAUGAGUUCUUUUGUGCUUUGAAUGGAUAAGUUGUAUCAUAGCAUACUAGGUAAACUUUUCAAGAUGAAUGUUAUAGUUUCUACUGUUCCAAGAUGGGUUGAAUCUGGAGGCUGAGAGAAACCAUUAUCUCUCUCAUCAAUGUGGCUGGAUCUGAACUAUUAUGAGUUUGAAUAGUGUAUUAUGUACAGUCAUGGUAAUAUUAUGGAUGGGAGGUUUCCUAAA
Molecule: non-coding RNA, 6023 nt
Organism: Amborella trichopoda
Lineage: Eukaryota; Viridiplantae; Streptophyta; Magnoliopsida; Amborellales; Amborellaceae
Source: RefSeq, a predicted model, not a curated record